GAUGAACGCUGGCGGCGUGCCUAAUACAUGCAAGUCGAGCGAACAGAUGAGGAGCUUGCUCCUCUGACGUUAGCGGCGGACGGGUGAGUAACACGUGUAUAACCUACCUAUAAGACUGGGAUAACUUCGGGAAACCGGAGCUAAUACCGGAUAAUAUAUUGAACCGCAUGGUUCAAUAGUGAAAGACGGUUUUGCUGUCACUUAUAGAUGGAUCCGCGCCGCAUUAGCUAGUUGGUAAGGUAACGGCUUACCAAGGCAACGAUGCGUAGCCGACCUGAGAGGGUGAUCGGCCACCUUAGAACUGAGACACGGACCAGACUACUACGGGAGGCAGCAGUAUGGAAUCUUCCGCAAUGGGCGAAAACCUGACGGAGCAACGCCGCGUGAGUGAUGGAGGUCUUCGGAUCGUAAAACUCUGUUAUUAGGGAAGAACAAAUGUGUAAGUAACUAUGCACGUCUUGACGGUACCUAAUCAGAAAGCAACGGCUAACUACGUG
RNAcentral lists this ribosomal RNA (497 nucleotides) under uncultured bacterium. RNAcentral's name for it is "partial 16S ribosomal RNA". It matches the Rfam family "Bacterial small subunit ribosomal RNA", at positions 28 to 507 of the family's 1533-position model. The record is from RNAcentral.